RNAcentral lists this unclassified non-coding RNA (344 nucleotides) under Ramicandelaber taiwanensis. RNAcentral's name for it is "partial internal transcribed spacer region". The stretch from base 1 to 46 matches the Rfam family "Eukaryotic small subunit ribosomal RNA", at positions 1786 to 1831 of the family's 1831-position model. Lineage: Eukaryota; Fungi; Kickxellomycota; Ramicandelaberales; Ramicandelaberaceae. The record is from RNAcentral.
AAGUCGUAACAAGGUAUCCGUAGGUGAACCUGCGGAUGGAUCAUUACCAAUUUUAUAUACUAGUGUGUAUGCCGCUGUCAAAGGUGGUACUACACUACUACUAUUAUGUAAACGUUGAACUAGAUCAAUUGGUGUGGAUUGCUUGGGAAUGGACGAAGCGACAAGCCUCUUCCGGACAGGCAAACCCCACACUGAUAACCUUUUCAAUAUAAUUUACUAGUACAUACUACAAACAAACAAACAAACAAAAGCUAUAAUAGGACUUAUAAACAGGCUGAGUGGGUAAAAUCCUCGGCUUAACAAUAUAACUAUUACAACUUUCAGCAAUGGAUCUCUAGGCUCUC